Molecule: long non-coding RNA, 1169 nt
Organism: Schistocerca nitens (vagrant locust)
Lineage: Eukaryota; Metazoa; Arthropoda; Insecta; Orthoptera; Acrididae
Exons: 4
Source: RefSeq, a predicted model, not a curated record
AGUUACCCGCCCUGUUCUUUCUUCCACGUCGAUUAUCUGCGAGUGUAGUUGGCUGUUACGUGGAAUUGCUGACUGCGUUUGUGGAAAUUCAUACAUUAUGUUCCCCAGCAUUGGUUCGCAAGGAAACUAUCUGGACAAAAAGGAAACAGACAAGGCAACUACUGAGCCAGGCUCCAUGAAGUGACUAUACUGGCAGAGGCAAAGACUGAGGGAGGAAGUUCACAAGUGGCCUGCAUGCACUGUGGGAAACUUCAGAUGGUGCAGUUGUAACUCUGGUGGUCAGCGGCUUCUAGCUGCCAGGACACAGUCAGAUCCUGGGAGCAAGAAGUGCAGUCUCUGAUACUGUGUUGCAUUGAUGUGCAGCAGACAGCAGCUAUAUAGAGGAGUGAUUGUAAUUGCAGAGUAGAAGGCUGAGGGAGGCGGUUUCAUGAACGACUGCGUGCACUGCUAAAAUCUUCAGCUGGUGCAGACGUGACUGGUUGUUGUCCGCCUGGAGCUGGAGCUGCCAGCACACAGCCAGACCUAGGCAGUGAUGAGCCCAGUGUUUGUCGCCAUGUUGCGUUUCUCGCAUGUCAUUUCGUAACAUGGCGGCAAACACUGGGCUUCUUACUGACGUGUUGCAAAUCGCCGUGCGAGAAGUGUGCAUCUACUAGAUAGAGGUAAGAGACAUAUGAGAAGUUCUCUUACAAUAAGUGUGAAACAGUUUCUUUCCUUGCCAUUCCCUGCAUCAUGCUUGGGUGACAAUGUGAACUUAAAAAGUCCCAAAGACAGUUCUUGGAGUAGAUAGGAAAAAUGCUGAAGUAAAAUAAUUACAGCUUCUUGGCAGUUUAUUAAUUCAAAAUGUGUACUGUGAUGCCAGAUAAUUCUUCCUGAUGAUUACUCAGUAUUCAUACAGGCAACACAAAAUUACUCUCUUCAGUAGUAGUUCACCAGUACAUCUAACAUAGUAUCUAUACAUCUAAGAAACCUGUCAGGACUGUAGAAGCAGUUCUUAACCGUUUUCUUUUUUACAACUGCACCCUUUGGUGAUAAUUAAAAAAUUCAUGUGUUUUAAUAGUUAUAGAUAAAUGGUAAUGUCAAAGAUAAUUUAAGAACCUAAAUAUUUUAGUCAGUCACACUAUUAUUUAGGGCUAAUAAAUCUUUGUAGAAAAUGAUUGUAUUGUUUUUUU